This 450-nucleotide ribosomal RNA is filed under the name uncultured soil bacterium. Its description in RNAcentral is "bacterial SSU rRNA". It matches the Rfam family "Bacterial small subunit ribosomal RNA", at positions 26 to 464 of the family's 1533-position model. The record is from RNAcentral.
AGAGUGAACGCUGGCGGUAGGCCUAACACAUGCAAGUCGAACGGCAGCACAGUGGUAGCAAUACCAUGGGUGGCGAGUGGCGGACGGGUGAGGAAUACAUCGGAAUCUACCUUUUCGUGGGGGAUAACGUAGGGAAACUUACGCUAAUACCGCAUACGCCCUUUGGGGGAAAGCCGGGGAUCGCAAGACCUGGCGCGGAUAGAUGAGCCGAUGUCGGAUUAGCUAGUUGGUGAGGUAAUGGCUCACCAAGGCGACGAUCCGUAGCUGGUCUGAGAGGAUGAUCAGCCACACUGGAACUGAGACACGGUCCAGACUCCUACGGGAGGCAGCAGGUGGGGAAUAGUUGGACAAGUGGGACGCAAGGCCUGAUCCAAGCCAUACCGGCGUGGGUAGAAGAAGGCCUUCGGUUGUAAAGUCCCUUUUAGUAGGAAAGAAAGCAAAUUCGGUUAA